AAUAGGAGAAUGACAAAUCAGAUUUUUCCUCCUAAUUUUUAGUUUUUUUCUCUUGAAAAAAAUUCAAAUCUAACUGAAAAUGCUAAAAAUUAAGAGGAAAAAUCUGAUUUGUCAUUCUUCUAUU
Gossypium hirsutum (cotton) is the source of this 124-nucleotide non-coding RNA. NCBI's taxonomy places the organism in Eukaryota, Viridiplantae, Streptophyta, Magnoliopsida, Malvales, Malvaceae. The record is from Rfam.